RNAcentral lists this unclassified non-coding RNA (331 nucleotides) under soil metagenome. RNAcentral describes it as "partial contains 5.8S ribosomal RNA, internal transcribed spacer 2, and large subunit ribosomal RNA". The stretch from base 1 to 120 matches the Rfam family "5.8S ribosomal RNA", at positions 35 to 154 of the family's 154-position model. The record is from RNAcentral.
GAUGAAGAACGCAGUGAAAUGCGAUAAGUAAUGUGAAUUGCAGAAUUCAGUGAAUCAUCGAAUCUUUGAACGCACAUUGCGCCCCCUGGUAUUCCGGGGGGCAUGCCUGUUCGAGCGUCAUUUCACCACUCAAGCCUCGCUUGGUAUUGGGCAUCGCGGUCCGCCGCGCGCCUCAAAUCGACCGGCUGGGUCUUCUGUCCCCUAAGCGUUGUGGAAACUAUUCGCUAAAGGGUGUUCGGGAGGCUACGCCGUAAAACAACCCCAUUUCUAAGGUUGACCUCGGAUCAGGUAGGGAUACCCGCUGAACUUAAGCAUAUCAAUAAGCGGAGGA